CGGGGGGAGCAAGCGUUGUUCGGAAUCACUGGGCGUAAAGGGAGUCUAGGCGGUUUGGUAAGUGGGAUGUGAAAUCCCCGGGCUCACCCCGGGACCUGCAUCCCAAACUGCUGAGCUUGAGUACGGGAGAGGGUGGGGGAAUUCCAGGUGUAGCGGUGAAAUGCGUAGAUAUCUGGAGGAACACCGGUGGCGAAGGCGCCCACCUGGCCUGCUACUGACGCUGAAGCUCGAAAGCUAGGGGAGCAAACGGGAUUAGAUACCCCGGUAGUCCUAGCCGUAAACGGUGAUCACUAGGUGUUGGGAGCAUCGACCCUUCCAGUGCCGCAGCUAACGCAUUAAGUGAUCCGCCUGGGGAGUACGGCCGCAAGGUUG
RNAcentral lists this ribosomal RNA (372 nucleotides) under uncultured organism. RNAcentral describes it as "bacterial SSU rRNA". It matches the Rfam family "Bacterial small subunit ribosomal RNA", at positions 526 to 896 of the family's 1533-position model. The record is from RNAcentral.